GACGAACGCUGGCGGCGUGCUUAACACAUGCAAGUCGAACGGAAAGGCCCUGCUUUUGUGGGGUGCUCGAGUGGCGAACGGGUGAGUAACACGUGAGUAACCUGCCCUUGACUUUGGGAUAACUUCGGGAAACUGGGGCUAAUACCGGAUAGGAGCUCCUGCUGCAUGGUGGGGGUUGGAAAGUUUCGGCGGUUGGGGAUGGACUCGCGGCUUAUCAGCUUGUUGGUGGGGUAGUGGCUUACCAAGGCUUUGACGGGUAGCCGGCCUGAGAGGGUGACCGGCCACAUUGGGACUGAGAUACGGCCCAGACUCCUACGGGAGGCAGCAGUGGGGAAUAUUGCACAAUGGGCGGAAGCCUGAUGCAGCAACGCCGCGUGCGGGAUGACGGCCUUCGGGUUGUAAACCGCUUUCGCCAGUGACGAAGCGUGAGUGACGGUAACGGGUAAAGAAGCACCGGCUAACUACGUG
Molecule: ribosomal RNA, 468 nt
Filed under: uncultured bacterium
Lineage: Bacteria
Description: partial 16S ribosomal RNA
Rfam family: Bacterial small subunit ribosomal RNA
Source: RNAcentral